RNAcentral lists this ribosomal RNA (253 nucleotides) under uncultured bacterium. RNAcentral describes it as "partial 16S ribosomal RNA". It matches the Rfam family "Bacterial small subunit ribosomal RNA", at positions 524 to 776 of the family's 1533-position model. The record is from RNAcentral.
UACGUAGGGCGCAAGCGUUGUCCGGAAUUAUUGGGCGUAAAGAGCUCGUAGGCGGUUUGUCGCGUCUGCCGUGAAAGUCCGGGGCUCAACUCCGGAUCUGCGGUGGGUACGGGCAGACUAGAGUGAUGUAGGGGAGACUGGAAUUCCUGGUGUAGCGGUGAAAUGCGCAGAUAUCAGGAGGAACACCGAUGGCGAAGGCAGGUCUCUGGGCCGUAACUGACGCUGAGGAGCGAAAGCAUGGGGAGCGAACAGG